UACGAAGGGGGCUAGCGUUGUUCGGAAUUACUGGGCGUAAAGCGCGUGUAGGCGGGCCGUUAAGUCGGGGGUGAAAGCCCAGAGCUCAACUCUGGAAUUGCCUUCGAUACUGGCGGCCUGGAGCAUGAUAGAGGCGAGUGGAAUUGCGAGUGUAGAGGUGAAAUUUGUAGAUAAUCGCCGGAACACCAGUGGCGAAGGCGACUCGCUUGAUCAUUGCUGACUCUGAGACGCGACAGCGUGGGGAGCAAACAGG
This 253-nucleotide ribosomal RNA is filed under the name uncultured bacterium. RNAcentral's name for it is "partial 16S ribosomal RNA". It matches the Rfam family "Bacterial small subunit ribosomal RNA", at positions 524 to 776 of the family's 1533-position model. The record is from RNAcentral.